This 253-nucleotide ribosomal RNA is filed under the name uncultured bacterium. RNAcentral's name for it is "partial 16S ribosomal RNA". It matches the Rfam family "Bacterial small subunit ribosomal RNA", at positions 524 to 776 of the family's 1533-position model. The record is from RNAcentral.
UACGGAGGGUGCGAGCGUUAAUCGGAAUUACUGGGCGUAAAGCGCACGUAGGCGGUUGGGUAAGACGGAUGUGAAAGACCUGGGCUUAACCUGGGAACUGCAUUCGAUACUGCCCGGCUAGAGUAUGGGAGAGGGAAGCGGAAUUUCCGGUGUAGCGGUGAAAUGCGUAGAUAUCGGAAGGAACACCAAUGGCGAAGGCAGCUUCCUGGCCCAAUACUGACGCUCAGGUGCGAAAGCGUGGGGAUCAAACAGG